UAAUUGAAGAGUUUGAUCAUGGCUCAGAUUGAACGCUGGCGGCAGGCCUAACACAUGCAAGUCGAGCGGUAACAGGGGAAGCUUGCUUCUCGCUGACGAGCGGCGGACGGGUGAGUAAUGUAUGGGGAUCUGCCCGAUAGAGGGGGAUAACCACUGGAAACGGUGGCUAAUACCGCAUAAUCUCUUAGGAGCAAAGCAGGGGAACU
RNAcentral lists this ribosomal RNA (206 nucleotides) under Providencia rettgeri. RNAcentral's name for it is "partial 16S ribosomal RNA". It matches the Rfam family "Bacterial small subunit ribosomal RNA", at positions 1 to 212 of the family's 1533-position model. The record is from RNAcentral. Lineage: Bacteria; Pseudomonadati; Pseudomonadota; Gammaproteobacteria; Enterobacterales; Morganellaceae.